Molecule: long non-coding RNA, 520 nt
Filed under: Elaeis guineensis (African oil palm)
Lineage: Eukaryota; Viridiplantae; Streptophyta; Magnoliopsida; Arecales; Arecaceae
Description: long non-coding RNA (EGUI_LNC027963)
Source: RNAcentral
CUCGUGAAUAGUGGUGAUGUGGCAUGAUCAGGCGAUGGGUGCGUCGAAAGGUCUGAUUGACAGUCGGUCCGAAUGUCGCCACAUGUCAAAAUUUGGGAGAAUCUCAAUUUGAAUGAAUUCAUCUUGGCUGUUAGGGGGUCCUAUAUAUAUAUUGGGUCCCUUUUAUCCUACUGAUUCCUUUUAGUACUAUUCUGAGAUUUUGAGAACUCUUGCAAUUGAAAGCUUCCCUGUAGGUGUUGAAGACUGCAGGCUCUUUUCUUCCCAUCUUCGUGGUCCCUUAGGCAUUCUUAGCUUCCAGGUUAGGCUACCCCUUCUUCUCUUUCAUUCCUUUGCCUUCCUUUAGAUACCAUUGCCAAUGGCUACUAGCAGUAGGAAAGGGUAAGGUCAGAGUUAGGGAGAAAGGUGACAGACCCGUAGAUAGAGCCCUUGGUUCCUAUCGGGGUAGUCGGUCGGCUGAUCCUGUUGGCGACUCUAUGUCGAAUCUGAUAGUGAAAGUUUCCUCUCUAUUGGAAUAUGCCGU